Molecule: ribosomal RNA, 417 nt
Filed under: uncultured bacterium
Lineage: Bacteria
Description: bacterial SSU rRNA
Rfam family: Bacterial small subunit ribosomal RNA
Source: RNAcentral
GCAUAACGCGAAGAACCUUACCUACCCUUGACAUGUCCAGUAUGAGCAUCAGAGAUGGAGCUCUUCAGUUCGGCUGGCUGGAACACAGGUGCUGCAUGGCUGUCGUCAGCUCGUGUCGUGAGAUGUUGGGUUAAGUCCCGCAACGAGCGCAACCCUCGCUUCUAGUUGCCAGCAUUCAGUUGGGCACUCUAGAGGGACUGCCGGUGAUAAGCCGGAGGAAGGUGGGAUGACGUCAAGUCCUCAUGGCCCUUACGGGUAGGGCUACACACGUGCUACAAUGGCGGUGACAGUGGGCAGCGACACAGCGAUGUGAUGCUAAUCCCAAAAAGCCGUCUCAGUUCAGAUUGCAGCCUGCAACUCGGCUGCAUGAAGUUGGAAUCGCUAGUAAUCGCUAAUCAGCAGGUANCGGUGAAUACG